CCUCCCCUAGGAAACAUCAGGGCGCCGGUUUCUGAACAACUGCAGGGGCGACGCAGGGACUGGACUGGGAGCUUUCUCGCGCGUGCACGUGCCUUUGCUCCAGGAAAGAAGUAGCUCCUUCCCCUGGUCCUGCUGAUGUGUGUGUGUGACUCAGAGCAGAGCUGGUGUAUGGCCACACCCGAGGCCGGAGAACACGGAGCCCCUGGGGGCCGAGAAGGUGUCCUGCUGAUUGUCAAGUCACCAGGAACAAAAGCAAGGAGGGAAUGGGCCACACUGUUCUGUGACUCUGCUUCAGGCCCUUGAUUCUUAUGACUGGUGUGACCCAGGAGUGCACAAGGCAGUUAGCUGACGCCAGUUCCUGACCCCUUGGCUCAGUGAAUGAAAACCCCAGACAGGAAGGCUUCCACGAUCUUGGCUGCCGCCGUGGCCUUGUGUGGACAACCUCUGCACCUCCCGCUCCUUCUGAAAUCCUGCCAAGGGUCAUUCUUCUGGCGCUUUCCCUAUAGAUUCUUUCCCAAAGUCUUCAUUUGCAGCACAAUUAAUUAUUCAUUGCCAAGUUUGUGCGGUUUUUGUCCAUAAAAUAAAAGACACAUUUUUCAUUUUCACCACUAAGUUUAUUGAUUUGGAUAUUUUGAGUAUGCCAACUAUCCCCCAUGUGGUAUAACAUUGAUUGUUCUCAAUUAAUGUCUGGAUUUGAUCGCUAUCAACUUCAACUGGUUUACUGGACUGUGGAGCAUCAUCCAGUGAGAAAUCUCCAGCAUAAAACUUCAAAAACGACUUUUGACAUACUCCACCAGUUACAGCACCUUCUCCAUACACUGAAUAAAUCAUUCUUUGCAUUUCA
Molecule: long non-coding RNA, 844 nt
Organism: Artibeus jamaicensis (Jamaican fruit-eating bat)
Lineage: Eukaryota; Metazoa; Chordata; Mammalia; Chiroptera; Phyllostomidae
Exons: 2
Source: RefSeq, a predicted model, not a curated record